RNAcentral lists this ribosomal RNA (508 nucleotides) under uncultured bacterium. RNAcentral's name for it is "partial 16S ribosomal RNA". It matches the Rfam family "Bacterial small subunit ribosomal RNA", at positions 30 to 523 of the family's 1533-position model. The record is from RNAcentral.
AUUGAACGCUGGCGGCAUGCCUUACACAUGCAAGUCGAACGGCAGCGGGGGAGAAGCUUGCUUUUCCUGCCGGCGAGUGGCGAACGGGUGAGUAAUACAUCGGAACGUGCCCUGUAGUGGGGGAUAACUAGUCGAAAGAUUAGCUAAUACCGCAUACGACCUGAGGGUGAAAGUGGGGGACUGCAAGGCCUCAUGCUAUAGGAGCGGCCGAUGUGUGAUUAGCUAGUUGGUGGGGUAAGGGCCUACAAAGGCGAAGAUCAGUAGCUGGUCUGAGAGGAGGAUCAGCCACACUGGGACUGAGACACGGCCCAGACUCCUACGGGAGGCAGCAGUGGGGAAUUUUGGACAAUGGGCGAAAGCCUGAUGCAGCAAUGCCGCGUGUGUGAAGAAGGCCUUCGGGUUGUAAAGCACUUUUGUCCGGAAAGAAAUGGCUCUGGUUAAUACCUGGGGUCGAUGACGGUACCGGAAGAAUAAGGACCGGCUAACUACGUGCCAGCCGCCGCCGUAA